Candidatus Wildermuthbacteria bacterium is the source of this 84-nucleotide non-coding RNA. The record is from Rfam. NCBI's taxonomy places the organism in Bacteria, Candidatus Wildermuthiibacteriota.
GUCGGGGUGGCGGAACCGGUAGACGCGCAUGGUUCAGGACCAUGUGGGGUAACACCCAUGAGGGUUCGAGUCCCUCCUCCGACA